AUUGAACGCUGGCGGAAUGCUUUACACAUGCAAGUCGAACGAUGAACCUUAGCUUGCUAAGGGGAUUAGUGGCGAACGGGUGAGUAAUAUAUCGGAACGUACCUUGUAAUGGGGGAUAACUAGUCGAAAGAUUAGCUAAUACCGCAUACGCCCUGAGGGGGAAAGUAGGGGAUCUUCGGACCUUACGUUAUAAGAGCGGCCGAUAUCUGAUUAGCUAGUUGGUGGGGUAAUGGCCUACAAAGGCGACGAUCAGUAGCUGGUCUGAGAGGACGACCAGCCACACUGGAACUGAGACACGGUCAAGACUCCUACGGGAGGCAGCAGUGGGGAAUUUUGGACAAUGGGCGCAAGCCUGAUCCAGCCAUUCCGCGUGAGUGAAUAAGGCCUUCGGGUUGUAAAGCUCUUUCGCAAGGGAAGAAAACUUACAUUCUAAUAAAGUGUGAGGCUGACGUUACCUUGAUAAGAAGCACCGGCUAACUACGUGCCAGCCGCCGCCGUAA
Molecule: ribosomal RNA, 500 nt
Filed under: uncultured bacterium
Lineage: Bacteria
Description: partial 16S ribosomal RNA
Rfam family: Bacterial small subunit ribosomal RNA
Source: RNAcentral